AGUGAACGCUGGCGGCGUGCUUAACACAUGCAAGUCGAACGAGAACGGAUUAUAGCUUGCUAUAAUUGUCAGCUAAGUGGCGCACGGGUGAGUAAUGUAUAGGUAAUAUGCCUCUUACUAAGGGAUAACAAAUGGAAACGUUUGCUAAUACCUUAUACUCCUUAUUAACAUAAGUUAAUAAGGGAAAGAUUUAUUGGUAAGAGAUUAGCCUGUAUUGUAUCAGUUAGUUGGUGGGGUAAUGGCUUACCAAGACUAUGACACAUAACUGGUUUGAGAGGAUGAGCAGUCACACUGGAACUGAGACACGGUCCAGGCUCCUACGGGAGGCAGCAGUGGGGAAUAUUGCACAAUGGACGAAAGUCUGAUGCAGCAACGCCGCGUGGAGGAUGACACAUAUCGGUGCGUAAACUCCUUUUAUAUGAGAAGAUAAUGACGGUAUUAUAUGAAUAAGCACCGGCUAACUCCGUGCCAGCCGCCGCAGUAA
This 484-nucleotide ribosomal RNA is filed under the name uncultured bacterium. Its description in RNAcentral is "partial 16S ribosomal RNA". It matches the Rfam family "Bacterial small subunit ribosomal RNA", at positions 29 to 523 of the family's 1533-position model. The record is from RNAcentral.